UUUUUUAAGGAGCAGAACAAAUAUAGAUUUUUGUGUAGCAAGAAUUCUCACUUUCAGCUUUGACAAAGUGAUUUUGGGGUAUGGCUUCACCCUUUGAUCUCCUUACAUGUGUUUGGACCAUCAUUGGCCCAUUCUAUUUCCUGGUUCAAAAGUGGAAGAACGAUGGUUUUUGCCUUCGAGGUUACUAAAAUUCAUACUUUAAUCUUUCAGGGACUGCUAUCUUCCAGUCAUACUCAGAUGUCUGACUGUCAGCUUUAUGUCUUGGAAAGAAUUCCUCGCAAUUCAGGUCACAGGUCUUUCAGGAGUGAUCCCUCUGUCUUAAAGAGUUCCCUCCGCUCUUUGCCUUCCCAAGUUGGUACCUCCGUGCAGGGAAGAUCAUAGGACGGACUCUGGGGAUUAUGGUGUCAGCCUAGCCCACCCUGAGAAAGCAGAGCCUGAGGCCACACUGACGUUUGAUUUGGGAAAUGCAAUCCCAAAGAAGCAGGAGUAGGGGAAGGACAAGUGACACAGAGAAGGAGGGAAAUACAGCACAGAGAAAACUGCCCCGGUGGAGGCCCAGGCCCCGAGCAUCCAGCUGAGUUUGUUCUGCCUCGUCGCAGCUGGUCUUCACGGGGCGGCAGCAGUUCAGUGCCUGGCCUACCUCUCCACAUGCUGCCAGGGUCUCCAGACCACAUAGCUCGGAUACAGCCGGCACCUCGUAACACCCAAGGGAAAUCUUUUCUCUACCCCAGGGAGAGACUGGCCCUACAGAGCCAAGGAGAUUGUCACGUGAUCAUAUGACAUCAGAACCUUCUGAAAUCUGAAGAAAAUCGAUCUCAGAAAGAAUGUGUAGAAUGUCCAUAACUUAGCCCGAUCUCAGUCCACUUUUGCUUUCUUAAAUGUCUCUACGGAGGGUUAAAAAAAAAAUCUUGAGGUCCAGAUUCACCUAAGCACAUUCUAUUAAGUGAUUUUUUUUUUAAGAUGUUGGGGGCAGGAGUUUAUUAAUUAAUGAAUUUAUUUUUGCUGUGUUAGGUCUUCGUUUCUGUGCGAGGGCUUUCUCUAGUUGUGGCAAGCGGGGGCCACUCUUCAUCGCGGUGCGCGGGCCUCUCACUAUCGCGGCCUCUCUUGUUGCAGAGCACGGGCUCCAGACGUGCAGGCUCAGUAUAAGUGAGCACAGGCUCCGGACGCGCAGGCUCAGCGGCCAUGGCUCACGUGCCCAGCCGCUCCGCGGCAUGUAGGAUCCUCCCGGACCGGGGCACGAACCCGUGUUCCCUGCAUCGGCAGGCGGACUCCCAACCACUGCGCCACCAGGGAAGCCCAGGGUCACAGCAGAGGGUUUGCUGCCUCAGUAUGAAACCACUGCCUGGUGUGACAAGCGGAGAGAAGGACAUUGGGUUCCAGUCAUGAUGGCUCACUUGACCCCAGCCCACCUCGUGUGCUUUCAUCAGUCUUUAAUUCUGUCCAUUACACUUGAAAGGAACAGAGAUCAUGGCCAUAAAGAUCCUUAGGAGGAAACAGAGUAAAAUUAUUCAUUUAUUGAACAAAUGUUAAUUAAGCUAUAAUAAAUGUCUGAAUAAAUCAGGGAAGACCUCAAGCCCCUCCGGACCGUCAACUCCACAGAGAUCCCCUCUGCCUUCAUUUCUCCCUGAUCUGCUCCCAGUGCCCAGGAAAGACUGCCUGUCCUACAGGAAAGGCUCCGAUGAAGGGAGCAUGAAGUCGGCGGCACAGACUUUUCUCUGUGUAAAGCCAGUUGGCACCUACAGGGAUUGAAACCUGCCGUCAGCUCAUGAGCACAGCCCUGUGACUAACUGAGCCAACUGGUCAUUCCAGCACUCAUGCUCUACCAGGUGAAGCGGCUCUCUGUGGCCUGAAAAACCGGACCCCGAUUACCUACAAGGGAAGAUCUGUGAGUGACUGCAGUGACCCAAGAUCCAUGGCCGUCCCGGGAGCAGCAGGUACUACUGUCAUCGUUCAUUUGGAGCCAACAAGGAGUGGGUGACAAACCCAAGGGUCUAGCUUCACAUCGACAAAGUCUCUGGGACCAGAAACCCAUUAUCUUGAUACCAUGUAGUUUUCAGAGACAGCAUUUGCAUGUCAGCAAUAAGACCUGGUGUCAGGGCCCCUCCCCAGGUACCUAACUUGUCACCAAGCCUGAUAAGAGGAAGCAUGCUUUUUCCUAGUUUUUAGCACAGUAACCACCCAACAGAAUUGCUAAUGAAGAAAAAAAAAUGCCUUUGCUUGUGGCUUAAUACAUAUUUCCUUUUCUCUCAAAGGCUUGCCCAUUUCAAAUGUAAUCUGUUCUUUGGGGGCACGUUCUCCCUAGAAGAGUCUAGUGGUGAAGAGCCUCAGCUUCAACCAGGAGGACCCUUUUCUAAUUGCAUCAUGUUGAAUAAGUUACUUAAAUUCCCUGAGACCAGAUUUCUUACCAUUAAGUGGAAAUACUAAUAGCCCUACCUGUAAGGUUGUUGGGAAUAUUUAAACAAGAUUAUGUAUACGUGUGUGUGUGUGUGUGUGUGUGUGUGUGUGUAUAAAAUGCUUAGCACAAAACCUAACCUAGUUAAUGCUCAAUACAGUUAAAUAUUACGAUUACUAAAUGAACUAAUAAAUAUACACAUGCCCAGUACAGCUUGGUGGUUAACAAAUGUUAGGAUAAUAUUUGUAAACUGUGGGGCACUAUUCAUAUGUCAGGUCUGAAUAUUAUUAGCACUUGCCUUAGUGAUGAAGCUUUCAGUUCAGUCAUGGUCCAGUAAGAGAUGAGUCAGAAGGAAAAUUAGGGCACACAGCAGAUGGCUUUCCCAAGCAUAUGACCUAUUCAGUCUUGAAAAUCAGCCCAGGCACUGGUCAACUGCAGUCCUUGGGUAUUUUGCAUUUGAAUCGCUAUCAAAUAUUUUCCUCUCUUUCCAUCCUUGCUAAAAGGAAUGACCUUUCUUCUUUAAAACACAGAACACUCCAAGGAAAGCGUUAGAAGGAGAAAGUUCAAAUCUGGCCUUUGACCUUACCCUCCCCUAGAAUCAUUCUCUUUCCUACUGCCUGCAUUGCAAUCUGGUCCAUGGGAAUGCAUUAGAGCUCACACCUGGGUGAAGUCCCCUUUCUUUAGUUUCUCUGAGGAUGUCUAAAAAUGGCUGAGCUGUUUAAGAACUUGACUGCCAGCCGAUGGUUCUUGAACCCAUUGACAAUGAAGCUGUGUGUUUCACAUGACAAAAGACCUUUUGCUUCUCUUUCCUGAUUGUUUUCAUUUGUUGUUUUGGCUCCCUCUUGCUGGACACUGCAGGCAUCCGAUAAUAAGCAGAGCUCUCAACUGACAGGUCUGGGGUGCAGCAAAAUGGGCCAGAGCUGAGGAAAAGGCACUGCUAGGGUGGGCUCGGUAAUUAUGUGGUGUUAGAGCACGCUUUUGAUCCUAUUUGAACAUGUCUAAUUUAAUGAACUCUUGAAACUCUUUUCAAGGAUGCAGAUGAUUUAUGGCAUACUAGAACUCUACUUCAGCAGUUCCUAAAGCAUGGCUUGUGCAUCUCUGGAGGCCCCUGAAACUCUGGGGUUCCCUGAGGCCAAAACAACUGUCGUAAUAAUGCCAGGAUAUUACGGGACCUUUUUUACUGGGUUGACAUUUGCACUAAUGGCACAAAAACAAUAGUGGGCAUAACUCUGUGAAUCAAAAGAGUGGUAUCUAACUGUACUUCUUAUUUGCCAUUGUGUUCUUUAACCUCACACACUGUCAGUAAAAAAAAAGAAAAUAUCAGUUUUACUUAAAAAUGCCCUUAAAGAAGCAGUAAAAAGUAUUCAUUUUAUUAAACCAAAAUUUUUGAGUACAUGGAACACCAUUUUUACUUCAAAGACUAACCGAGGGCUUCCCUGGUGGCGCAGUGGUUGGGAGUCCGCCUGCCGAUGCAGGGGACGCGGGUUCGUGCCCCGGUCCGGGAAGAUCCCACGUGCCGCGGAGUGGCUGGGCCUGUGAGCCAUGGCCGCUGAGCCUGCGCGUCCGGAGCCUGUGCUCCGCAACGGGAGAGGCCGCGACGGUGAGAGGCCCCCGUACCUCAAAAAAAAAAAAAAAAGAAUAACCGACAAACGAUGGUUAUACAGACUCGGACAUCUGGCAGGCAGUUUCUUAAAAAACUGAACGAAAUAAAAUCUAUGGCUUGAAGGAAAAUGACUCACAGUAUUUAUUGCCAGUGGUAAAAUUUGAACUUUCAGAUGAAAAUUAGAAUUGUUGAAAACUUGAAUUCACCACUGUGGGUGUGACAACUUCUUAGUACUUACAGAAUUUUCGGAUGAGAUAGGCGGUGGUAUUAACAAACAUGAGUUUUUGAUAUUGCAUAAUAAAAUCUGUGAACAUUUGGAAAAUUUGCAUAACUCAGUGAAGCAAUACUUUCCAAAUGACCAAAGCAUGAUGUUUAAAGUGGUUUCUGAUCCCACACUGCAGCCAAUCUUUAAGAAACUGCCUUUGGACAGGGAUAAAGACACAGGCAUAGAGAAUGGACUUGAGGACACGAGGAGGGGGAAGGGUAAGCUGGGACGAAGUGAGAGAGCGGCAUGGACAUAUAUACACUACCAAACGUAAAACAGAUAGCUAGUGGGAAGCAGCCGCAUAGCACAGGGAGAUCAGCUUGGUGCUUUGU
This is a long non-coding RNA of Globicephala melas (long-finned pilot whale), 4592 nucleotides long. RefSeq lists it as uncharacterized. NCBI's taxonomy places the organism in Eukaryota, Metazoa, Chordata, Mammalia, Artiodactyla, Delphinidae. The record is from RefSeq and is a predicted model, not a curated record.